GAGUACGGCCGCAAGGUUAAAACUCAAAUGAAUUGACGGGGGCCCGCACAAGCGGUGGAGCAUGUGGUUUAAUUCGAUGCAACGCGAAGAACCUUACCUACUCUUGACAUCCAGAGAACUUAGCAGAGAUGCUUUGGUGCCUUCGGGAACUNUGAGACAGGUGCUGCAUGGCUGUCGUCAGCUCGUGUUGUGAAAUGUUGGGUUAAGUCCCGCAACGAGCGCAACCCUUAUCCUUUGUUGCCAGCGNNUCGGNCGGGAACUCAAAGGAGACUGCCAGUGAUAAACUGGAGGAAGGUGGGGAUGACGUCAAGUCAUCAUGGCCCUUACGAGUAGGGCUACACANUUGCUACAAUGGCAUAUACAAAGAGAAGCGACCUCGCGAGAGCAAGCGGACCUCAUAAAGUAUGUCGUAGUCCGGAUUGGAGUCUGCAACUCGACUCCAUGAAGUCGGAAUCGCUAGUAAUCGUGGAUCAGAAUGCCACGGUGAAUACGUUCCCGGGCCUUGUACACACCGCCCGUCACACCAUGGGAGUGGGUUGCAAAAGAAGUAGGUAGCUUAACUANNGGGAGGGCGNNACCAGANGAGANCAAGANCGGGGNGAAGGNGUAACAAGG
This 615-nucleotide ribosomal RNA is filed under the name Citrobacter sp. HSU1g-1. Its description in RNAcentral is "partial 16S ribosomal RNA". It matches the Rfam family "Bacterial small subunit ribosomal RNA", at positions 878 to 1496 of the family's 1533-position model. Lineage: Bacteria; Pseudomonadati; Pseudomonadota; Gammaproteobacteria; Enterobacterales; Enterobacteriaceae. The record is from RNAcentral.